CUACGGGAGGCAGCAGUGGGGAAUUUUGGACAAUGGGGGCAACCCUGAUCCAGCCAUGCCGCGUGAGUGAAGAAGGCCUUCGGGUUGUAAAGCUCUUUCGGUGGGAACGAAACGGGUGCGCUGAACAAGCGCGCUCACUGACGGUACUCACAGAAGAAGCACCGGCUAACUACGUGCCAGCAGCCGCGGUAAUACGUAGGGUGCGAGCGUUAAUCGGAAUUACUGGGCGUAAAGCGUGCGCAGGCGGUUUCACAAGCUCGAUGUGAAAGCCCCGGGCUUAACCUGGGAAUUGCAUUGAGGACUGUGGAGCUCGAGUGCGGCAGAGGGAGGGGGAAUUCCACGUGUAGCAGUGAAAUGCGUAGGUAUGUGGAGGAACACCGAUGGCGAAGGCAGCCUCCUGGGCCGACACUGACGCUCAUGCACGAAAGCGUGGGGAGCAAACAGGAUUAGAAACCCUAGUAGUCC
Molecule: ribosomal RNA, 465 nt
Filed under: uncultured bacterium
Lineage: Bacteria
Description: bacterial SSU rRNA
Rfam family: Bacterial small subunit ribosomal RNA
Source: RNAcentral